RNAcentral lists this ribosomal RNA (445 nucleotides) under uncultured bacterium. RNAcentral's name for it is "partial 16S ribosomal RNA". It matches the Rfam family "Bacterial small subunit ribosomal RNA", at positions 354 to 796 of the family's 1533-position model. The record is from RNAcentral.
GUGAGGAAUAUUGGUCAAUGGGCGAGAGCCUGAACCAGCCAAGUCGCGUGAAGGAAGAAGGAUCUAUGGUUCGUAAACUUCUUUUGCAGGGGAAUAAAGUGCGGGACGUGUCCUGUUUUGUAUGUACCCUGAGAAUAAGGAUCGGCUAACUCCGUGCCAGCAGCCGCGGUAAUACGGAGGAUCCGAGCGUUAUCCGGAUUUAUUGGGUUUAAAGGGUGCGUAGGUGGAUUGAUAAGUCAGCGGUGAAAGUUUGCAGCUUAACUGGAAAGAUGCCGUUGAAACUGGCGGACUUGAGUGUAAAUGAGGUAGGCGGAAUGCGUGGUGAAGCGGUGAAAUGCAUAGAUAUCACGCAGAACUCCGAUUGCGAAGGCAGCUUACUAAGCUACAACUGACACUGAAGCACGAAAGCGUGGGGAUCAAACAGGAUUAGAAACCCCAGUAGUCC